This 32-nucleotide non-coding RNA is filed under the name Rattus norvegicus (Norway rat). Lineage: Eukaryota; Metazoa; Chordata; Mammalia; Rodentia; Muridae. The record is from RNAcentral.
UCUCGGGACUGAAUAGACAAUUCUUUGCCUGC